UACGGAGGGGGCUAGCGUUGUUCGGAAUACUGGGCGUAAAGCGCGCGUAGGCGGACCUGCAAGUCGGGGGGUGAAAGCCCGAGGCUCAACCUCGGAACUGCCUUCGAUACUGCGGGUCUCGAGUCCGGGAGAGGUGAGUGGGAAUUCCUAGUGUAGAGGUGAAAUUCGUAGAUAUUAGGAAGAACACCAGUGGCGAAGGCGGCUCACUGGCCCGGUACUGGACGCUGAGGC
Molecule: ribosomal RNA, 231 nt
Filed under: uncultured bacterium
Lineage: Bacteria
Description: partial 16S ribosomal RNA
Rfam family: Bacterial small subunit ribosomal RNA
Source: RNAcentral